RNAcentral lists this ribosomal RNA (460 nucleotides) under uncultured bacterium. RNAcentral describes it as "partial 16S ribosomal RNA". It matches the Rfam family "Bacterial small subunit ribosomal RNA", at positions 338 to 795 of the family's 1533-position model. The record is from RNAcentral.
CCUACGGGGGGCAGCAGUGAGGAAUAUUGGUCAAUGGGCGGGAGCCUGAACCAGCCAAGUCGCGUGAGGGAAGACGGUCCUAUGGAUUGUAAACCUCUUUAGGCGGGGAGCAAUGCCGGGCACGCGUGCCCGGAGGGAGAGUACCCGCAGAAUAAGCAUCGGCUAACUCCGUGCCAGCAGCCGCGGUAAUACGGAGGAUGCGAGCGUUAUCCGGAUUUAUUGGGUUUAAAGGGUGCGUAGGCGGAUUUUUAAGUCAGCGGUAAAAUGUCCGGGCUCAACCCGGGCCGGCCGUUGAAACUGGGGAUCUUGAGUACAGUUGAGGUAGGCGGAAUUCGUGGUGUAGCGGUGAAAUGCUUAGAUAUCACGAAGAACUCCGAUUGCGAAGGCAGCUUACUAAACUGCCACUGACAUUGAUGCUCGAAAGUGUGGGUAUCAAACAGGAUUAGAUACCCCUGUAGUC